GGGGAAUCUUGCGCAAUGCGCGAAAGCGUGACGCAGCAACGCCGCGUGGGGGAAGACGGCCUUCGGGUUGUAAACCUCUUUCAGUUGGGACGAAGCCUCGUCGGUUAAUAGCCGGCCGAGGUGACGGUACCUUCAGAAGAAGCCCCGGCUAACUACGUGCCAGCAGCCGCGGUAAGACAGAGGGUGCAAACGUUGUUCGGAAUUACUGGGCGUAAAGCGCGUGUAGGCGGCAGCGUGUGUCGGGCGUGAAAUCCCAUGGCUCAACCAUGGAAGUGCACCCGAAACUGCGCAGCUAGAGUCCUGGAGAGGAAGGUGGAAUACUUGGUGUAGAGGUGAAAUUCGUAGAUAUCAAGUGGAACACCGGUGGCGAAGGCGGCCUUCUGGACAGUGACUGACGCUGAGACGCGAAAGCGUGGGGAGCAAA
Molecule: ribosomal RNA, 424 nt
Filed under: uncultured bacterium
Lineage: Bacteria
Description: bacterial SSU rRNA
Rfam family: Bacterial small subunit ribosomal RNA
Source: RNAcentral